GCCUGGUUGGCUCAGUUGUUAGAGCAUGUGACUCUUGAUCUCAGGGUCAUGAGUUCUAGCCCCACAUUGGGCC
RNAcentral lists this transfer RNA (73 nucleotides) under Felis catus (domestic cat). It matches the Rfam family "tRNA". Rfam says of the family: Transfer RNA (tRNA) molecules are approximately 80 nucleotides in length. Their secondary structure includes four short double-helical elements and three loops (D, anti-codon, and T loops). The record is from Rfam by way of RNAcentral. Lineage: Eukaryota; Metazoa; Chordata; Mammalia; Carnivora; Felidae.